GACGAACGCUGGCGGCGUGCCUAACACAUGCAAGUCGAACGGAGAUAGUUAAUGAAGCUUGCGAUUUAGCUAUCUUAGUGGCGAACGGGUGAGUAACGCGUGGGUAACCUGCCCUUAAGACCGGGACAACAGCUGGAAACGGCUGCUAAUACCGGAUGUAUUGUCCGAGAGGCAUCUCUUGGAGAAGAAAGCUGGCCUCUGAAAAUGCUAGCGCUUAGGGAUGGACCCGCGUCUGAUUAGCUAGUUGGUGGGGUAGCGGCCUACCAAGGCGACGAUCAGUAGCCGGCCUGAGAGGGUAAACGGCCACACUGGGACUGAGACACGGCCCAGACUCCUACGGGAGGCAGCAGUGGGGAAUCUUCCGCAAUGGACGAAAGUCUGACGGAGCAACGCCGCGUGUAUGAAGAAGGCCUUCGGGUUGUAAAAUACUGUUAUUAGGGAAGAACGGCAUCUGUGUAAAUAAUGCAGGUGAUUGACGGUACCUAACGAGGAAGCCCCGGCUAACUACGUGCCAGCAGCCGCGGUAAUACGUAGGGGGCAAGCGUUGUCCGGAAUCAUUGGGCGUAAAGGGCGCGUAGGCGGCAAUAUAAGUCUGAUGUGAAAGUGCGGAGCUUAACU
Molecule: ribosomal RNA, 618 nt
Filed under: uncultured bacterium
Lineage: Bacteria
Description: bacterial SSU rRNA
Rfam family: Bacterial small subunit ribosomal RNA
Source: RNAcentral